AGCGAACGUUAGCGGCGGGCCUAACACAUGCAAGUCGAACGCGAAAGGUCUUCGGACUGAGUAGAGUGGCGCACGGGUGAGUAACACGUAGGUAAUCUACCCUUUGGCGGGGGAUAACGUUCCGAAAGGAGCGCUAAUACCGCAUAAGACCACGGAGUCUCCGGACGCUGUGGGAAAAGGUGGCCUCUUCUUGAAAGCUAUCACCGAAGGAUGAGCCUGCGUCCCAUCAGCUAGUUGGUAAGGUAAUGGCUUACCAAGGCGAAGACGGGUAGCUGGUUUGAGAGAAUGAUCAGCCACACUGGCACUGGAACACGGGCCAGACUCCUACGGGAGGCAGCAGUGAGGAAUAUUGGGCAAUGGGCGAAAGCCUGACCCAGCCACGCCGCGUGAGUGAUGAAGGCCCUCGGGUCGUAAAGCUCUGUGGAGAGGGACGAAAACCCUGGUUUCAAAUAGGCUCCAGGCUUGACGGUACCUCUUUAGCAAGCACCGGCUAACUCUGUGCCAGCAGCCG
This 511-nucleotide ribosomal RNA is filed under the name uncultured bacterium. RNAcentral describes it as "bacterial SSU rRNA". It matches the Rfam family "Bacterial small subunit ribosomal RNA", at positions 29 to 517 of the family's 1533-position model. The record is from RNAcentral.